ACUUAGGCUCUUAAGAUCGGGUU
This 23-nucleotide non-coding RNA is filed under the name Arabidopsis thaliana (thale cress). Lineage: Eukaryota; Viridiplantae; Streptophyta; Magnoliopsida; Brassicales; Brassicaceae. The record is from RNAcentral.